Molecule: long non-coding RNA, 928 nt
Organism: Betta splendens (Siamese fighting fish)
Lineage: Eukaryota; Metazoa; Chordata; Actinopteri; Anabantiformes; Osphronemidae
Exons: 2
Source: RefSeq, a predicted model, not a curated record
CCCCCCCCCCCCCGUGUGCGUGAUGACAGAUGAGAACUGUUGUCAGAGUCACCGGAGGGUGUGAAUGUCUACACUUCAGGAGGUUUCAUGACCCAGGGGCAAAGCAGACCUUCGCAGGCUCCGCAAAAGGUCAUAAAUUCAGAGGCAUCGCAGGGGAACGGAGCAGGUCCUCCACUUCCUGGAGUUGGAUGUAGGUCUGAGGUGUUUUGAAGGUCACUGACGAUGCACAGAACGUCUGGUGGAGGCAGCCGCAGCGCUACCAGCACUGCUGCCCUUUACUGCAUCGCGACGUUCUCACUCGUCCGACCCGGAGAUGGGGAACGCCAGAGAAAACACACUAACUGACAACUCUGCUGCCAAUCUGUCAUUGUUUAUAGAUACAUCAAUGACACGUUUAUGUCUAACACAUAAUCCUACACAGCCGGCUGUUCAGUCAAAACUAUGCUUGAACCUAAUCAGGCUUUUGUUCCCUCUUUCACAACAAAGCACGCGAUAAACCUGAACUCCUAGGAUCUUGACUCUGACGUGUGACUUUGUGGCCCUACGCGUGACCUUCGACCCGGUCGACAUCAUUCAUCAUCAAGCCGGGGUCCUUGACUCCGUUGUGAAGGGCCUUUGAAGUGAUCUGAAUGGACCUCCCGCCUCACCUUCAUUGUCAGUCCACUGAGUCUUGACCUGCGCUCCCGAUGGUAUGUCGGGCCCCAUCUGUGAAUGCGCUGCCACAUGGCAUGACAGACGCUGAAAGGCGUUAAAUGCAUCAACACAAACAUCAAGAGGCUCCUUCACUUUACUCGAACCUAACGUCUGCGUGGCGCCGGGACCAUUCCUGCGAUUGCAGGGUCUCACUGACAGAUAUUUAGGAGCUGAACACGUCAUGCUGCAUGUCCAACGUCCAAAUAAAAAAAAAAAAAAGAAAAUCCAUGGGUUU